CCGUAAACGAUGUCGACUUGGAGGUUGUGCCCUUGAGGCGUGGCUUCCGGAGCUAACGCGUUAAGUCGACCGCCUGGGGAGUACGGCCGCAAGGUUAAAACUCAAAUGAAUUGACGGGGGCCCGCACAAGCGGUGGAGCAUGUGGUUUAAUUCGAUGCAACGCGAAGAACCUUACCUACUCUUGACAUCCAGAGAACUUUCCAGAGAUGGAUUGGUGCCUUCGGGAACUCUGAGACAGGUGCUGCAUGGCUGUCGUCAGCUCGUGUUGUGAAAUGUUGGGUUAAGUCCCGCAACGAGCGCAACGCUUAUCCUUUGUUGCCAGCGGUCCGGCCGGGAACUCAAAGGAGACUGCCAGUGAUAAACUGGAGGAAGGUGGGGAUGACGUCAAGUCAUCAUGGCCCUUACGAGUAGGGCUACACACGUGCUACAAUGGCGCAUACAAAGAGAAGCGAACUCGCGAGAGCAAGCGGACCUCAUAAAGUGCGUCGUAGUCCCGGAUUGGAGUCUGCAACUCGACUCCAUGAAGUCGGAAUCGCUAGUAAUCGUAGAUCAGAAUGCUACGGUGAAUACGUUCCCGGGCCUUGUACACACCGCCCGUCACACCAUGGAGUGGGUUGCAAA
RNAcentral lists this ribosomal RNA (621 nucleotides) under Enterobacter cloacae. RNAcentral's name for it is "bacterial SSU rRNA". It matches the Rfam family "Bacterial small subunit ribosomal RNA", at positions 800 to 1421 of the family's 1533-position model. Lineage: Bacteria; Pseudomonadati; Pseudomonadota; Gammaproteobacteria; Enterobacterales; Enterobacteriaceae. The record is from RNAcentral.